This 373-nucleotide unclassified non-coding RNA is filed under the name uncultured Rickettsiales bacterium. Its description in RNAcentral is "contains 16S-23S intergenic spacer region". The record is from RNAcentral. Lineage: Bacteria; Pseudomonadati; Pseudomonadota; Alphaproteobacteria; Rickettsiales.
UCCGGUUUGUCACCGGCAGUCUCCUUAGAGUGCCCUUGCGUAGCAACUAAGGACAAGGGUUGCGCUCGUUGCGGGACUUAACCCAACAUCUCACGACACGAGCUGACGACAGCCAUGCAGCACCUGUGUGCACGCCACCCGAGGUGAAGGACUCCAUCUCUGGAAUCCAAACGUGCCAUGUCAAGGCCUGGUAAGGUUCUUCGCGUUGCCUCGAAUUAAACCACAUGCUCCACCGCUUGUGCGGGUCCCCGUCAAUUUCUUUGAGUUUUAACCUUGCGGCCGUACUCCCCAGGCGGAAUGUUUAAUGCGUUAGCUACGUCACUGAGAGGGAACCCCCCAACAACUAACAUUCAUCGUUUACGGCGUGGACUAC